RNAcentral lists this ribosomal RNA (520 nucleotides) under uncultured eukaryote. RNAcentral's name for it is "bacterial SSU rRNA". It matches the Rfam family "Eukaryotic small subunit ribosomal RNA", at positions 21 to 549 of the family's 1831-position model. The record is from RNAcentral.
UGAUGAUAUUCUUCGGUUAAAGAUUAAGCCAUGCAUGUGUAAGAGUAAACAAGUUACUAGUGAAUCUGCGUAUGGCUCAUUAUAUGAAUCAUUACUUACCCGAGCACCAAAUCACAACUGGAUAACCGUUGUAAUUCAAGGGCUAAUCAUGCAUCAAAGCAAGUCUCUCACGGGACUUGUGCAUUUGUUAGUCUAAAACCAACUUUACAAGUAGGUGAAUCAUGACAAAUUGCGGAUCCUCAUGUUGCAAAAGACGGAGGACGACUCGGUCAGGUCUUUCCCCUAUCAGUUUUCGUAGGAAAUGUAUUGAAUUUUCUAGACUUUGACGGGUAGCGGAAAAUAAGGGUUUGAUUCCGGAGAAGGAGCCUGAGAGACGGCUACUACAUCUAAGGAAGGCAGCAGGCGCGCAAAUUUCCCAAUGCUCAUCGAGCGAGGAAGUGACGACCAAUAACAAUGUGCGACUCAUUCGAGUUGUGCAAUUGGAAUGACUACAAUGUAAAGUGUUUAAGAAGGAUCAAUU